Molecule: ribosomal RNA, 1159 nt
Filed under: Salmonella enterica subsp. enterica serovar Oranienburg
Lineage: Bacteria; Pseudomonadati; Pseudomonadota; Gammaproteobacteria; Enterobacterales; Enterobacteriaceae
Description: partial 23S ribosomal RNA
Rfam family: Bacterial large subunit ribosomal RNA
Source: RNAcentral
AUGCUGUGAGCUCGAUGAGUAGGGCGGGACACGUGGUAUCCUGUCUGAAUAUGGGGGGACCAUCCUCCAAGGCUAAAUACUCCUGACUGACCGAUAGUGAACCAGUACCGUGAGGGAAAGGCGAAAAGAACCCCGGCGAGGGGAGUGAAAAAGAACCUGAAACCGUGUACGUACAAGCAGUGGGAGCACCCUUUGGGGUGUGACUGCGUACCUUUUGUAUAAUGGGUCAGCGACUUAUAUUCUGUAGCAAGGUUAACCGAAUAGGGGAGCCGGAGGGAAACCGAGUCUUAAUUGGGCGUUAAGUUGCAGGGUAUAGACCCGAAACCCGGUGAUCUAGCCAUGGGCAGGUUGAAGGUUGGGUAACACUAACUGGAGGACCGAACCGACUAAUGUUGAAAAAUUAGCGGAUGACCUGUGGCUGGGGGUGAAAGGCCAAUCAAACCGGGAGAUAGCUGGUUCUCCCCGAAAGCUAUUUAGGUAGCGCCUCGUGAAUUCAUCUCCGGGGGUAGAGCACUGUUUCGGCUAGGGGGCCAUCCCGGCUUACCAACCCGAUGCAAACUGCGAAUACCGGAGAAUGUUAUCACGGGAGACACACGGCGGGUGCUAACGUCCGUCGUGAAGAGGGAAACAACCCAGACCGCCAGCUAAGGUCCCAAAGUCAUGGUUAAGUGGGAAACGAUGUGGGAAGGCCCAGACAGCCAGGAUGUUGGCUUAGAAGCAGCCAUCAUUUAAAGAAAGCGUAAUAGCUCACUGGUCGAGUCGGCCUGCGCGGAAGAUGUAACGGGGCUAAACCAUGCACCGAAGCUGCGGCAGCGACACUCAGGUGUUGUUGGGUAGGGGAGCGUUCUGUAAGCCUGCGAAGGUGGCCUGUGAGGGUUGCUGGAGGUAUCAGAAGUGCGAAUGCUGACAUAAGUAACGAUAAAGCGGGUGAAAAGCCCGCUCGCCGGAAGACCAAGGGUUCCUGUCCAACGUUAAUCGGGGCAGGGUGAGUCGACCCCUAAGGCGAGGCCGAAAGGCGUAGUCGAUGGGAAACGGGUUAAUAUUCCCGUACUUGGUGUUACUGCGAAGGGGGGACGGAGAAGGCUAUGUUGGCCGGGCGACGGUUGUCCCGGUUUAAGCGUGUAGGUGUGUGUUCCAGGUAAAUCCGGUUCACUUUAAC